CCCUAUGGGGUCAGCAGUACCCGUUCCUCGAAAGCACUGAAACCGGGUUGAAUGCCAGCCAGGCGACGCAAAAAGAAAUUGAUGAGGAAGUAAAAAGAAUCAUCUCGGAACAAUACCAGCGCGCGCAGCAAUUGUUGCUGGAUCACAAAGAGGCGCUGACGGCAUUAACCCAGAAGUUACUGGAAACCGAAACAGUGGAUGGAGAAAUGGUAAAGCAAGUCCUGCGGGCAGGGUGAAUCAGGCAAAAAGCCUGUUCACCUUGUAUGGCAGUUCAGAGGACAACAAAAGAAGAGGUUUUGUAAAAAUGAUGUCAAUAGCCGGGUGAUUAAUACCACCCAUAGCCGCCUUGGUGUAUACCACUGAAAUGAAUUGGCGGGAGAGC
This 382-nucleotide ribosomal RNA is filed under the name uncultured prokaryote. RNAcentral's name for it is "partial 16S ribosomal RNA". The record is from RNAcentral.